CGGUGGUCAUAGCGGAAGGGAAACACCCGGUCCCAUACCGAACCCGGAAGUUAAGCCUUCCAGCGCCGAUGGUACUGCACGCGCCAGCGUGUGGGAGAGUAGGAAACCGCCGCACA
RNAcentral lists this ribosomal RNA (116 nucleotides) under Propionibacterium australiense. Lineage: Bacteria; Bacillati; Actinomycetota; Actinomycetes; Propionibacteriales; Propionibacteriaceae. The record is from RNAcentral.